This 325-nucleotide ribosomal RNA is filed under the name uncultured eukaryote. RNAcentral describes it as "partial 18S ribosomal RNA". It matches the Rfam family "Eukaryotic small subunit ribosomal RNA", at positions 1470 to 1796 of the family's 1831-position model. The record is from RNAcentral.
CCCUUAGAUGUUCUGGGCCGCACGCGCGCUACACUGAUGCAUUCAACGAGCCUAUCCUUGACCGACAGGUCCGGGUAAUCUUUGAAUCUGCAUCGUGACGGGGAUAGAUUAUUGCAAUUAUUAAUCUUCAACGAGGAGUGCCUAGUAGGCGCAAGUCAUCAGCUUGCGUCGAUUACGUCCCUGCCCUUUGUACACACCGCCCGUCGCUCCUACCGAUUGGGUGUGCUGGUGAAAUGUUCGGAUCGGCCGUUUGUCGCGGUUUCCGCGGCUCGUGGCUGAGAAGUUCAUUAAACCCUCCCACCUAGAGGAAGGAGAAGUCGCAACA